UGGCUCGGCGAGCUAUGGAGAUGGUUCAACUUCCAGAGGCUUCCUCAUAAAUUUUUGGAAUUUUUGAGACACAGAUAAACUUCGGGUGAGCCGGGACAGCCUUCUUCCUCCGCCCAGCUGCCACAGUGAUUGUCGUCAAGUCUGCCACAGGAGGAGUUAUUUUACAGAGCAACCUGUUUUCUUCCUCGCAGGUUUAACGUCAAUUAUUUAAUUGUUUUACUAUCUUUUCUAAAUUAAAAAUCUAGAACUCCGCAUGUGUUAGAAAUAGUGUGGACCUUGGUAGAGGUUGUGCUAACUUAAAUUUUUAAGAUUAAUAAAUGAAGAUUUCUAUGGUAUUUAAACAGUUUGUA
Molecule: long non-coding RNA, 350 nt
Organism: Hevea brasiliensis (rubber tree)
Lineage: Eukaryota; Viridiplantae; Streptophyta; Magnoliopsida; Malpighiales; Euphorbiaceae
Exons: 3
Source: RefSeq, a predicted model, not a curated record